GGGCCCGUAGCUCAGCCUGGUAGAGCGCCACGCUGAUAACGUGGAAGUCCUGGGUUCAAAUCCCAGCGGGCCCA
RNAcentral lists this transfer RNA (74 nucleotides) under Candidatus Parcubacteria bacterium. RNAcentral describes it as "tRNA-Ile". It matches the Rfam family "tRNA". From Rfam's summary of the family: Transfer RNA (tRNA) molecules are approximately 80 nucleotides in length. Their secondary structure includes four short double-helical elements and three loops (D, anti-codon, and T loops). Lineage: Bacteria; Candidatus Parcubacteria. The record is from RNAcentral.